RNAcentral lists this transfer RNA (62 nucleotides) under Ictidomys tridecemlineatus (thirteen-lined ground squirrel). Its description in RNAcentral is "Spermophilus tridecemlineatus (thirteen-lined ground squirrel) tRNA". It matches the Rfam family "tRNA". Rfam says of the family: Transfer RNA (tRNA) molecules are approximately 80 nucleotides in length. Lineage: Eukaryota; Metazoa; Chordata; Mammalia; Rodentia; Sciuridae. The record is from Rfam by way of RNAcentral.
GGGAAUGUAGCUUAGUGUAGAGCACUUGCCUAGUAUACAUGAGGCUAGGGGUUCCAUUCCCA